GAUGAACGCUGGCGGCGUGCUUAACACAUGCAAGUCGAACGGAAAGGCCCUGCUUUUGUGGGGUGCUCGAGUGGCGAACGGGUGAGUAACACGUGAGUAACCUGCCCUUGACUUUGGGAUAACUUCAGGAAACUGGGGCUAAUACCGGAUAGGAGCUCCUGCUGCAUGGUGGGGGUUGGAAAGUUUCGGCGGUUGGGGAUGGACUCGCGGCUUAUCAGCUUGUUGGUGGGGUAGUGGCUUACCAAGGCUUUGACGGGUAGCCGGCCUGAGAGGGUGACCGGCCACAUUGGGACUGCGGUACGGCCCAGACUCCUACGGGAGGCAACGGUGGGGAAUAUUGCACAGUGGGCGGAAGCCUGAUGCAGAGGCGCCGCGUGCGGGAUGACCGGUUUCGGGUUGUAAACCGCUUUCGCCUGUGACGAAGCGUGAGUGACGGUAAUGGGUAAAGAAGCACCGGCUAACUACGUG
This 468-nucleotide ribosomal RNA is filed under the name uncultured bacterium. RNAcentral's name for it is "partial 16S ribosomal RNA". It matches the Rfam family "Bacterial small subunit ribosomal RNA", at positions 28 to 507 of the family's 1533-position model. The record is from RNAcentral.